GCCCCGUUCGUCUAAUGGUUCAGGAUCGUGGACCUUCAAUCCACGGGUAGGAGUUCGAAUCUCCUACGGGGUG
RNAcentral lists this transfer RNA (73 nucleotides) under Planctomycetales bacterium 10988. It matches the Rfam family "tRNA". From Rfam's summary of the family: Transfer RNA (tRNA) molecules are approximately 80 nucleotides in length. Their secondary structure includes four short double-helical elements and three loops (D, anti-codon, and T loops). Lineage: Bacteria; Pseudomonadati; Planctomycetota; Planctomycetia; Planctomycetales. The record is from Rfam by way of RNAcentral.